GAGGCUUCAGGGCAAAACGUCA
Molecule: non-coding RNA, 22 nt
Filed under: Arabidopsis thaliana (thale cress)
Lineage: Eukaryota; Viridiplantae; Streptophyta; Magnoliopsida; Brassicales; Brassicaceae
Source: RNAcentral